AAUCAAGCGUUUAAGGGCGAUUGGCGGAUGCCUUGGCACUGUAAGACGAUGAAGGACGUGGUAUACUGCGAUAAGUUUCGGGGAGCCGUAUGCAGGCUUUGAUCCGAAAAUUUCCGAAUGGGGAAACCUAACACUUCGUGUGUUACUUUGUACUGAAUUCAUAGGUAUAAAGAGUGAACCUGGAGAACUGAAACAUCUAAGUAACCAGAGGAAAAGAAAUCAAUUGAGACUCCGUGAGUAGUGGCGAGCGAAAGCGGACUAGGCCAGCAACAAUAAUGAGAUAAUUUGAAUAGUUUGGAAAAACUAACCACAGAGGGUGAUAGUCCCGUAAAAGUAAAGCUCAUUUAUGUUCUUGAGUAAAGCGGGACACGUGAAAUCCUGCUCGAAUUUUGGGGGACCACCCUCUAAGCCUAAGUACUCUACAGUGACCGAUAGUGAACUAGUACCGUGAGGGAAAGGUGAAAAGAACCCCUAUUAGGGGAGUGAAAUAGAACCUGAAACCGAUUGCCUACAAACAGUCGAAGCUCUUUUUAGAGUGACGGCGUACCUUUUGUAUAAUGGGUCAGUGACUUAAUUUAUAUAGCAAGCUUAAGCCGAUUAGGUGUAGGCGCAGCGAAAGCGAGUCUUAAUAGGGCGUUUAGUUAUAUGAAUUAGACCCGAAAACGAAUGAGCUUACCAUGAACAGGUUGAAAGUUGGGUAACACCAACCGGAGGACCGAACCAGUUGACGUUGAAAAGUCUUUGGAUGAUUUGUGGUAAGGGGUGAAAGGCCAACCAAAUUCGUAGAUAGCUGGUUUUCCGCGAAAACUAUUUAGGUAGUGCGUUGAAUAAACAUACGUUUGGAGGUAGAGCACUAAAUGGGCUAGGGGGGAGAAAUCCCUACCAAACCUAAUAAAACUCCGAAUGCCAAACGUAAUUCCUCAACAGACAGACUGUGGGUGCUAAGGUCCAUGGUCGAGAGGGGAACAGCCCAGAUCACCAGAUAAGGUCCCUAAAUUAUGAUUAAGUGUGAAAGGAUGUGGAGAUUCCUAAACAGCCGGGAGGUUGGCUUAGAAGCAGCCAUCCUUUAAAGAUAGCGUAACAGCUCACCGGUCUAAUAGAGUUUCUGCGCCUAAGAUGUAACGGGGCUCAAAUCAUAUACCGAAUCUGUGGGUGUAAAAAAGUUUUCGAAUUUUUUUACGCGGUAGCGGAACGUUCUGUAAGCCGAUAAAGGAAUACCCGUGAGGGAUUCUGGAGGUAUCAGAAGUGCGAAUGCUGACAUAAGUAACGAUUAACAGAGUGAAAAACUCUGUCGCCGAAAAUCCAAGGGUUCCUGCGCAAGGUUAAUCCGCGCAGGGUUAGUCGACCCCUAAGACGAGGGCGAAAGCCGUAGUCGAUGGGAACCAGGUUAAUAUUCCUGGACCAGAGUGUAGUGACGGAUUUCAUAAGCUGUUAACUCUUAAUGGAUUGAGUUAGCUGUGAAGAAGUCCCAGGAAAUAGCUCACUCAUAAGAUCGUACCCGAAACCGACACAGGUGGAUUAUUAGAGUAUAAUUAGGCGCUUGAGAGAAUGAUGUUGAAGGAACUCGGCAAAAUGCCUCUGUAACUUCGGAAGAAAGAGGACCCAUUUUUAGGCAACUAUUGAUGGGUGGCACAAGCCAGGGAGAAGCGACUGUUUAUCAAAAACACAGGACUCUGCUAACACGUAAGUGGAUGUAUAGGGUCUGACGCCUGCCCGGUGCCGGAAGGUCAAUGCGAUGGGUGCAAGCUCAUUUCUGAAGCCCCGGUGAACGGCGGCCGUAACUAUAACGGUCCUAAGGUAGCGAAAUUCCUUGUCGGGUAAGUUCCGACCUGCAUGAAUGGCGUAACGAUUUCUCCGCUGUCUCCAACAUCAACUCAGUGAAAUUGAAUUCUCCGUGAAGAUGCGGAGUUCGCGUGG
This 1917-nucleotide ribosomal RNA is filed under the name Candidatus Pelagibacteraceae bacterium. RNAcentral describes it as "partial 23S ribosomal RNA". It matches the Rfam family "Bacterial large subunit ribosomal RNA", at positions 1 to 2075 of the family's 2925-position model. Lineage: Bacteria; Pseudomonadati; Pseudomonadota; Alphaproteobacteria; Candidatus Pelagibacterales; Candidatus Pelagibacteraceae. The record is from RNAcentral.